GUCCCUUCGGGGACAUCCGAUAAAAUUGGAACGAUACAGAGAAGAUUAGCAUGGCCCCUGCGCAAGGAUGACAAGCAUAAAUCAAUAAUUUAGAUUAUAUUGUU
Small nuclear RNA from Quercus robur (English oak), 104 nucleotides. NCBI's taxonomy places the organism in Eukaryota, Viridiplantae, Streptophyta, Magnoliopsida, Fagales, Fagaceae. The record is from RefSeq and is a predicted model, not a curated record.